This 73-nucleotide transfer RNA is filed under the name Stegodyphus mimosarum. Its description in RNAcentral is "tRNA-Thr for anticodon CGU". It matches the Rfam family "tRNA". Rfam says of the family: Transfer RNA (tRNA) molecules are approximately 80 nucleotides in length. Their secondary structure includes four short double-helical elements and three loops (D, anti-codon, and T loops). Lineage: Eukaryota; Metazoa; Arthropoda; Arachnida; Araneae; Eresidae. The record is from Rfam by way of RNAcentral.
GCCUUCGUGGUGUAGCGGUCAGCACGCUCGACGCGUAUUCGAGAGGUCCGGAGUUCGAGUCCCGGCGAGGGCA